UGAGGAAUCUGUCCAUCGGCGGGGGAUAGCCGGCCCAACGGCCGGGUAAUACCGCGUACGUCGGCGGGAGCGCAUGCUCCUGCCGGGAAAGCAGCAAUGCACCGAUGGAGGAUCUCGCGGCCUAUCAGCUUGUUGGUGAGGUCACGGCUCACCAAGGCGACGACGGGUAGCUGGUCUGAGAGGAUGAUCAGCCACAUUGGGACUGAGACACCGGCAGA
Molecule: ribosomal RNA, 218 nt
Filed under: uncultured bacterium
Lineage: Bacteria
Description: partial 16S ribosomal RNA
Rfam family: Bacterial small subunit ribosomal RNA
Source: RNAcentral